This 110-nucleotide microRNA precursor is filed under the name Olea europaea subsp. europaea. The record is from RNAcentral. Lineage: Eukaryota; Viridiplantae; Streptophyta; Magnoliopsida; Lamiales; Oleaceae.
UAGUUUACGGGUGCUGAGUUAGCAAGAUUUCACAAACUGGCUGGGUAAAAAAAAAAAAAAAAAAAUUAAACCAGUCGGUGAAAUCUUGCCAACUCAGCACCUGCAAAUUA